AAACAGACCAAACUCAACCAAGCUAUACGUACCGUGUAUGAAGAACCGCAGAUAACCGGUCGGAAGAGGUACCGACCAUGAGGCAAACCCCUGCAGCCGAUUAUUCUGUCUGAAUGGUACGUACUACCAUUUAUGAGGCUGCUGGCCAAUCAGUUGGUGCAGCCGAUCAACAUAUCGAGGACGUUAAUCAACUGACUAGAAUUGUCAACCAACCUUCGGGCGACCAGGUGAGGGAACCGCAUGUACAUUUAGAAGACAUAUCUUUCUCCAACUCUGGGAACCCCUCCAUUAGUCAAGAGGUUGGGGGCUUGAUCGAAGCCUAAGAGAAAAUGGUGAGUUUAAAAUGAUUCCUUAGUUCGUGCCCCUAUCUAAAAACCUCACUGCAAUUUUCUUACAUAAUUCGGAAUGUAAUCCUUUCGGGCCCAACCCCCCACCCGCCGGUGAAGAGUCAGAAGUUGGGGUCUGGGCGCUCUAUGGAUCCCCCUUCACACAACACCUCUCAUUGCCCCAUCUAACCUUACUGUCGUCCAGGGCCAGGGCCAAACUAACCUCACACCCUUAGCCAGUAUUUCCAUCACUCCCGAGGCUCGGCAAGUGAUGACCAAAUGUGCCUUAAUUUCCUUUCGUGACCUGGACGAUCAGACCUUCAAGCCUUCGCUCAGUUCAUGCUUCAUUUGUUGGUUCAUCCCUCUGUUGAUCCUAGUGCC
This is a long non-coding RNA of Andrographis paniculata, 707 nucleotides long. RefSeq lists it as uncharacterized. Lineage: Eukaryota; Viridiplantae; Streptophyta; Magnoliopsida; Lamiales; Acanthaceae. The transcript has 3 exons. The record is from RefSeq and is a predicted model, not a curated record.